RNAcentral lists this long non-coding RNA (749 nucleotides) under Homo sapiens (human). RNAcentral's name for it is "HSALNT0028855". Lineage: Eukaryota; Metazoa; Chordata; Mammalia; Primates; Hominidae. The record is from RNAcentral.
CAGUUGCAGCAUUGUGUGUGAGAACAAAAUAUUUUAAAUCACCUGAAAGCAACAAGAAGAAACUUUAUCUUGAUGAAAUGACUAAGCUGCUUUUACCUGGAACUUUAAUAUAUGUGAAGGAAGGCUGUCUUCUAUGGUGAUAAUCCAAUUAAGACUGGCUCCCACUGAAGAUGUCAAGAUGGCUGCAGCAACUUUGGGCCUCACAUUCCCUCAGGUGUGGGAAUGUUUUUGUUAUUCAUGACAAGCACCUUGGACCACACCUGAUAGUUAUCAGUAACAAGGCCGUUACAAGAUAGUUUAUGUUAACAAGAUGAUUCAAGGUGGGGCUGGCCACGAGAGAAGACCAAGUGAUUAGAAGACUGGGGCUUUCUCGUCUGGGAAGUGAGGAGCGUCUCUCCUCGGCCGCCACCCCGUCUGGGAAGUGAGGAGCGCCUCUGCCCGGCCACUGUGCAACCUUCCAAGUGCGAAGUGACAGCCUUGCGUGUGAUCUUUUCUGUCUUCCCCAAGUUUGCAUUUUCGACAUUCAAGUUUACUUUUUAGUUAAAAGUUAAAAAAAAAAAAGACUGGGGUUUUGGGCCACGUCACUUCACCCUGACUUCCAGGCAGGGGAGGGAGACUGGCAGUUGGGUUCAGCCACGUGGACAAUAAUUCAAUCAAUUGUGCCUAUUGUACGAAGCCCUAAUAAAAAUUCUGGACAUAAGAGCUGGGUGAGUUUCCUUCUCAGUAUCGUCCCCUUUGUUGAUGGGAGG